AUGGGGCCUAAAUUUGCAAAUAUGCGUAGCCCAGGCGCCAUCAUGCAUUUUGCGCAACCAUCGCCCGAUGUGUACCUAGUAAAGACACGGAUGGGAGAGCGUUCUACAAGAGCUUCCUCAUCUCCAUUAUUGUCAUCUGCCAUAGCCACCACAAUGGAAAAGCUGCUCACCGUAGUGUGUGUUUCAAGCCUUCUUCUAGCCACUCUUGCGGACGAUGCCUCCUCCAGAUCUUCUCUUCAGCACCCCUCCCUGGACGGUCUACAAGGUCGUGUUCUAGGUCGCAAAGGCAGAGAAGAACCGGCACACCACCAUUACCGGCGUGAAGGCGAGCACGAGGAGCAGCAUGAGGUGGUGCCUAUGGGAGCGGAGAGUGGCGAAGAGAGGAAGAAGGGAAGUUGGAGGAACGAGGACGAGGAGGCGGUUGCGGCGGAAGGGCUGAUCUCCAGCGCGGACUACAGCGGCGUGGCCAUGCACGGCCACAGCUCCCCGCCGGCGCACAAAAAGCAUCCCAGGCCAUAG
This 519-nucleotide ribosomal RNA is filed under the name Triticum aestivum (bread wheat). Its description in RNAcentral is "partial small subunit ribosomal RNA". Lineage: Eukaryota; Viridiplantae; Streptophyta; Magnoliopsida; Poales; Poaceae. The record is from RNAcentral.